RNAcentral lists this unclassified non-coding RNA (616 nucleotides) under Rhodotorula mucilaginosa. Its description in RNAcentral is "sequence contains 18S rRNA gene, ITS1, 5.8S rRNA gene, ITS2, 28S rRNA gene". The stretch from base 197 to 350 matches the Rfam family "5.8S ribosomal RNA". The record is from RNAcentral. Lineage: Eukaryota; Fungi; Basidiomycota; Microbotryomycetes; Sporidiobolales; Sporidiobolaceae.
UCGUAACAAGGUUUCCGUAGGUGAACCUGCGGAAGGAUCAUUAGUGAAUAUAGGACGUCCAACUUAACUUGGAGUCCGAACUCUCACUUUCUAACCCUGUGCACUUGUUUGGGAUAGUAACUCUCGCAAGAGAGCGAACUCCUAUUCACUUAUAAACACAAAGUCUAUGAAUGUAUUAAAUUUUAUAACAAAAUAAAACUUUCAACAACGGAUCUCUUGGCUCUCGCAUCGAUGAAGAACGCAGCGAAAUGCGAUAAGUAAUGUGAAUUGCAGAAUUCAGUGAAUCAUCGAAUCUUUGAACGCACCUUGCGCUCCAUGGUAUUCCGUGGAGCAUGCCUGUUUGAGUGUCAUGAAUACUUCAACCCUCCUCUUUCUUAAUGAUUGAAGAGGUGUUUGGUUUCUGAGCGCUGCUGGCCUUUACGGUCUAGCUCGUUCGUAAUGCAUUAGCAUCCGCAAUCGAACUUCGGAUUGACUUGGCGUAAUAGACUAUUCGCUGAGGAAUUCUAGUCUUCGGACUAGAGCCGGGUUGGGUUAAAGGAAGCUUCUAAUCAGAAUGUCUACAUUUUAAGAUUAGAUCUCAAAUCAGGUAGGACUACCCGCUGAACCUAAGCAUAUC